AGAGUUUGAUCCUGGCUCAGGACGAACGCUGGCGGCGUGCCUAACACAUGCAAGUCGAGCGGAGACAGUGAGUAGCUUGCUAUGAGCUGUUUUAGCGGCGGACGGGUGAGUAACGCGUGAGCAACCUUUCCCAGACAGGGGAAUAACACACCGAAAGGUGUACUAAUACCGCAUAAGACCACGGGAUCACAUGGUUCUGGGGUAAAAGAAUUAUCGGUUUGGGGUGGGCUCGCGUCCGAUUAGGUAGUUGGUGAGGUAACGGCCCACCAAGCCGACGAUCGGUAGCCGACCUGAGAGGGUGAUCGGCCACAUUGGGACUGAGACACGGCCCAAACUCCUACGGGAGGCAGCAGUGGGGAAUAUUGGGCAAUGGAGGAAACUCUGACCCAGCAACGCCGCGUGGAGGAAGAAGGUUUUCGGAUCGUAAACUCCUGUCCUUGGAGACGAGUAGAAGACGGUAUCCAAGGAGGAAGCCCCGGCUAACUACGUGCCAGCAGCCGCGGUAAUACGUAGGGGGCAAGCGUUGUCCGGAAUAAUUGGGCGUAAAGGGCGCGUAGGCGGCUCGGUAAGUCUGGAGUGAAAGUCCUGCUUUUAAGGUGGGAAUUGCUUUGGAUACUGUCGGGCUUGAGUGCAGGAGAGGUUAGUGGAAUUCCCAGUGUAGCGGUGAAAUGCGUAGAGAUUGGGAGGAACACCAGUGGCGAAGGCGACUAACUGGACUGUAACUGACGCUGAGGCGCGAAAGUGUGGGGAGCAAACAGGAUUAGAUACCCUGGUAGUCCACACUGUAAACGAUGAAUGCUAGGUGUAGGGGGUAUCGACCCCUUCUGUGCCGCAGUUAACACAAUAAGUAUCCCACCUGGGGAGUACGAUCGCAAGGUUGAAACUCAAAGGAAUUGACGGGGGCCCGCACAAGCGGUGGAUUAUGUGGUUUAAUUCGAAGCAACGCGAAGAACCUUACCAAGUCUUGACAUCGAUCUGACAGGGCCGUAAUGGGCCCGUUCCUUCGGGACAGAGAAGACAGGUGGUGCAUGGUUGUCGUCAGCUCGUGUCGUGAGAUGUUGGGUUAAGUCCCGCAACGAGCGCAACCCUUAUCUUCAGUAGCCAGCGGUCCGGCCGGGCACUCUGGAGAGACUGCCAGGGACAACCUGGAGGAAGGUGGGGAUGACGUCAAAUCAUCAUGCCCCUUAUGACUUGGGCUACACACGUGCUACAAUGGCGUAAACAAAGGGAAGCAGCCCUGUGAAGGUGAGCAAAUCCCAAAAAUAACGUCUCAGUUCGGAUUGUAGUCUGCAACUCGACUACAUGAAGCUGGAAUCGCUAGUAAUCGCGAAUCAGCAUGUCGCGGUGAAUACGUUCCCGGGUCUUGUACACACCGCCCGUCA
This 1382-nucleotide ribosomal RNA is filed under the name uncultured bacterium. Its description in RNAcentral is "16S ribosomal RNA". It matches the Rfam family "Bacterial small subunit ribosomal RNA". The record is from RNAcentral.